Rosa chinensis is the source of this 835-nucleotide long non-coding RNA. RefSeq lists it as uncharacterized. NCBI's taxonomy places the organism in Eukaryota, Viridiplantae, Streptophyta, Magnoliopsida, Rosales, Rosaceae. The transcript has 4 exons. The record is from RefSeq and is a predicted model, not a curated record.
GAGUUAACUGUUCAUUCGGGGUUACUGUUCAUUCAUGGGUGAAAAGAUCAUUUUGCCCUCAUUUGAAAUUUUGUUACGGAUCUGCCACUGACCAAUAUUUCCCCCCUCUUCCUCCCAGAGCACCUAGACCGAGUUUUUCCUCUCUUCCUCCUAAACCAAACAGCUGAUUUGACGCUGGAAGAUGCAACCAAGACUUCAGCUUCAGAAGAUCAGAGCAAGACGGAGUCGAACCCUAAAUCAAUGCAAGACGAGAACGCCAAGUCCAAGCAAGAGGAUUGGGGCAGCUCUAUUCGCCCAAUCUACACCUUCUCUACUGUUGAGGAAUUCUGGGGAUUCAAGAAGUUGGGAAAGCCAGGCUGUUUUGACACACUUACAGGGAGGUGUUUGGACAGGAAGAAUAGAGACAAGGUUUCUAAAGACAAUGUGAAGGAAGGGAAGCUGCUAGAAAAGUAACACUGCUUUCCUGUCUUUCCGGUUCGAGAUUUUGCUGCUUCUUCUUCUUCAGAAGGAACAGAAGUUAUAACCUCCUCAUUGAUUUUGAUAAUUGUUAAUCUUUCUAAUUCCAGCCCACCGGAAUCAGGAACAAAUGAGCUUCUCAUCAACACGGAUGAAGCACUAACAACAGACAAAUACCUCCAAAGAACUCAUGUAGAUUAUUUUGAUGACAACUAACCACCUUUGCAAUUUUUUUGAACAAAUGUUGGUUAAAAUACCCCAGCUUCUGCCCAAAACAUCAAUUUUUUUGGAAUAUGUGAUUGCAAGUCUAGUCAAAACUCCAGCUUUUGUAAUGUGUAAAAUGAUAACAUUUUAAGUUAAGUUAGUGUUUCUUACCUUA